Molecule: ribosomal RNA, 253 nt
Filed under: uncultured bacterium
Lineage: Bacteria
Description: partial 16S ribosomal RNA
Rfam family: Bacterial small subunit ribosomal RNA
Source: RNAcentral
UACGUAGGCAGCAAGCGUUGUUCGGAGUUACUGGGCGUAAAGGGUGUGUAGGCGGUUGGUUAAGUUUGGUGUGAAAUCUCCCGGCUCAACUGGGAGGGUGCGCCGAAUACUGAGUGACUCGAGUGCGGGAGAGGAAAGUGGAAUUCCUGGUGUAGCGGUGAAAUGCGUAGAUAUCAGGAGGAACACCGGUGGUGUAGACGGCUUUCUGGACCGUAACUGACGCUGAGACACGAAAGCGUGGGUAGCAAACAGG